UUAAGAUUUGACUAGUUUGAUUCUGUUGUUAAGAUCAAGUGAAAUAUAGUUAUUCCUGCCAAAUUACAUAUUAUAUAUGAACAUUGUAAUAAUUUUAACUUUUAAGACUCACAUUGAUGUGAGUUGACUUGAACAUUGUUCUCUUGUUGAUGGUUUAAACCCAACUACAGAACAAGGAGCAUAAGAAAACUAAUGUUACAUAUUCUGAGAAAAAAAAAUAACAAAAAAUGCUCAGUCAGUCAAAAUAAUGAGAUCUGAUAUUUGAAAUGGAACAAUUAAAAAUAUCCAAGUGAGAACUUACAGUAUUACAGGCAUCACACAAAUUAUAAAGAGGUGAAUACUUCAAUGUAUUCGUACGAGGUGUCGGCAUAUAACAUUAUUGUAGGAAAUCCAAUUAUAAAUUUAUGAUAAUA
This is a long non-coding RNA of Harmonia axyridis, 413 nucleotides long. RefSeq lists it as uncharacterized. The record is from RefSeq and is a predicted model, not a curated record. The transcript is spliced from 3 exons. Lineage: Eukaryota; Metazoa; Arthropoda; Insecta; Coleoptera; Coccinellidae.